Non-coding RNA from Paramisgurnus dabryanus, 634 nucleotides. NCBI's taxonomy places the organism in Eukaryota, Metazoa, Chordata, Actinopteri, Cypriniformes, Cobitidae. The record is from RefSeq and is a predicted model, not a curated record.
GAAAAGGCAGAACCAUACGUCAUAGAUGUCUCAGGAGGAUAUAUGGAGUGAAAACAGUUUUAAAACCUCCCACAAAUGCACACAAUAAAUCCAGAUACACGCACAGUAAUUCACAUCUCCAGCACACACGCACGAGAAUUCACGAAUGCACACUGAAAUCCACAAACACGAGUUGCAUCUUCCUGCACAACUGGAGGCGACAGUUUCAGGACCGCAGUUCUAGGACCAUAGGUUUUUAGUAACGACGCCCCCUAGCGAAUUAGGACCAGCAAAUAUGGAUGACAAUCAGAGUUGAAGUGGAGGAAUGUAAUCGAAUCAUAGACAAACAAUUGAGAAAAAAGGGAAGAGCAUCCAGUUGGGUGACUAUUAUAGGGCAGAACCAAAAGCGGCGAAGAUCGGUUCCACCCGGAGAUGGUUUCCACCCAGGCCGAAUAUUUCAAGCACCUGCACUUCCUGGUUUCCAGGGGCAACACAAUCGGGACCUUACGAGCCACAGGUGAGAAGGAUUAAGGUGGUGAUUUACAAUUGGAGGACGUGUGAAGAGGAGUUGGCGGUCGAAUCCUGGGCGAGCUCUUUCCGCCUAGGGCGAACCAAACCACAAACUCCGAGGGAAAAGCCUGACGGCUCCGUUGAU